GUGUUUCGAUCUGGUUGAUCGAGGUUCGGCGUUGUACGCCCUGGUUUCUGGCUUCGACCUAGGCACCGGCUUUAGCCGGGUUUCGUUUGAGCAUAUCAGCAUGAUCUAGUCACAGCACUGUGUAUUCUAGACACCAGGUUGGUUUGGCCACCAACCAAGGGGUGUACGUAUCCGGAUAGGUCAUCGGUGACGCAUGAAUAAGCUCGCAGUGUCUACUCUGUGACAGGCAACGCUUGAGGUCUACGGACCAAUAUAGCAGCAUCAGAUUGGGUAUAUUUGGACUUAUUGUCUGGUUGACGCAUAUAACUAUAGUAUCGGUUGUUGCUUGUAUACCUUCAGUUCUUUCGUUACAUUGUCUUGCUACUAUAGUCUUGUUACAUGUAUACAUUCAGUUGUUCAUUACAGUAGCGAUAGUUGUACUUUCUUUCAUAUAUAUGUCUCUUUCAUUUAUUAUUAUUGCUACUGUAUUUCUACUGAUCUGUACUGUUGUUUAGCUCUUCCUGAUCCGGUGAGUACUCCUCGCCUUUAUCGGCUUGCGGUACCCACUGGGAGGGGAGACAUGUUUACAUGUUCUCACCUCCCCCAUCAUUUUUCAGGUAUCGCAGGCGGUGAGAGUUGAGACGAGAUGUGAGACACGUUUGUAGCGGUCGAUAGAACUUCCGACCCAGGUUAUUCGGUUUAGUUUCUACCCUUACUAUUAUGUUGAUACAGCUCAGAUAGUUUAUAUGGUUCAGUAUUUUUAUUACAUUUGAAAAUGUGGGUUUUCAUGAAUGUAAUAAAGGGAUUUGUGAAAUUUGUGAAAUGAAAAACGGUUUUCUACUCCUCGUGGUAGCGCGUUUUAAAGAAAGAGUUUUCAUGUGGGAAACAGCUUUCAAAAAAAUU
Molecule: long non-coding RNA, 882 nt
Filed under: Ananas comosus (pineapple)
Lineage: Eukaryota; Viridiplantae; Streptophyta; Magnoliopsida; Poales; Bromeliaceae
Description: long non-coding RNA (ACOM_LNC017089)
Source: RNAcentral